Molecule: ribosomal RNA, 407 nt
Filed under: uncultured bacterium
Lineage: Bacteria
Description: partial 16S ribosomal RNA
Rfam family: Bacterial small subunit ribosomal RNA
Source: RNAcentral
AUUGAACGCUGGCGGCAGGCCUAACACAUGCAAGUCGAGCGGAGCGGCGGACGGGUGCGUGAUGCCUAGUAAUCUGCCUGGUCGUGGGGGAGAACGUCCAGUAACGGGAGCUAAUUCCGCAUCCUUUCACCUUAGUCUGUGUCGGAUUAGCUAGUUGGUGGGGUAAAGGCCUACCAAGGCGCCGAUCCGUAACUGGUCUGAGAGGAUGAUCAGUCACACUGGAACUGAGACACGGUCCAGACUCCUACGGGAGGCAGCAGUGGGGAAUAUUGGACAAUGGGCGAAAGCCUGAUCCAGCCAUGCCGCGUGUGUGAAGAAGGUCUUCGGAUUGUAAAGCACUUUAAGUUGGGAGGCGUUACCAACAGAAAAAGCACCGGCUAACUUCGUGCCAGCAGCCGCGGUAAUAC